GUUGGUGAACCAGCGGAGGGAUCAUUAA
Molecule: ribosomal RNA, 28 nt
Filed under: Metarhizium pseudoatrovirens
Lineage: Eukaryota; Fungi; Ascomycota; Sordariomycetes; Hypocreales; Clavicipitaceae
Description: partial 18S ribosomal RNA
Source: RNAcentral